GGUCAUUUGCAGGCCCGCUCUCGGCACAAAAGAUACAGCAACCACAGAUGAUCAUUUCAACCUAGUUAGGCAUCAUCAGUUAGUACACCUGAUAUUCCUCUAGUCACCGUGAGCAAGGUGCCCAUGUAUGAAUUACCGUUUAAACUCAAAGAGAGCAAAAAACAAGUUGCAAGAGAGUACUGAGAAUGGACAACAGAUCAA
This is a non-coding RNA of Pelobates cultripes (western spadefoot toad), 201 nucleotides long. Lineage: Eukaryota; Metazoa; Chordata; Amphibia; Anura; Pelobatidae. The record is from the annotation of a GenBank genome assembly.